UGGGGGAUAUUGCACAAUGGGCGAAAGCCUGACGCAGCGACGCCGCGUGGGGGAUGAAGGCCUUCGGGUUGUAAACUUCUUUUGCUCUGAACAAGGCGCACCAUGGGGUGUGUUGAGUGUAGGGGUUGAUUAGCGCCGGCUAACUACGUGCCAGCAGCCGCGGUAAUACGUAGGGCGCGAGCGUUGGCCGGAAUUAUUGGGCGUAAAGGGCUUGUAGGUGGCUGGUUGCGUCUGUCGUGAAAGCUCAUGGCUUAACUGUGGGUUUGCGGUGGGUACGGGCUGGCUUGAGUGCAGUAGGGGAGGCUGGAAUUCCUGGUGUAGCGGUUGAAUGCGCAGGUAACGGGAGGAAUAACGGUGGGGGAGGGGGGUCUCUGGGCUGUUACUGACACUGAGGAGCGAAAGCAGGGGGAGCGAACAGG
Molecule: ribosomal RNA, 419 nt
Filed under: bacterium
Lineage: Bacteria
Description: partial 16S ribosomal RNA
Rfam family: Bacterial small subunit ribosomal RNA
Source: RNAcentral